CCGACGGGUGGCUGCAGUGGGGAAUAUUGGACAAUGGGGGGAACCCUGAUCCAGCCAUGCCGCGUGUGUGAAGAAGGCCCUCGGGUUGUAAAGCACUUUCAGUGAGGAAGAACGCCUGGUGGUUAAUACCCAUCAGGAAAGACAUCACUCACAGAAGAAGCACCGGCUAACUCCGUGCCAGCAGCCGCGGUAAUACGGAGGGUGCGAGCGUUAAUCGGAAUUACUGGGCGUAAAGCGCGCGUAGGUGGCUUGAUAAGCCGGUUGUGAAAGCCCCGGGCUCAACCUGGGAACGGCAUCCGGAACUGUCAAGCUAGAGUGCAGGAGAGGAAGGUAGAAUUCCCGGUGUAGCGGUGAAAUGCGUAGAGAUCGGGAGGAAUACCAGUGGCGAAGGCGGCCUUCUGGACUGACACUGACACUGAGGUGCGAAAGCGUGGGUAGCAAACAGGAUUAGAUACCCUAGUAGUC
Molecule: ribosomal RNA, 465 nt
Filed under: Vreelandella stevensii
Lineage: Bacteria; Pseudomonadati; Pseudomonadota; Gammaproteobacteria; Oceanospirillales; Halomonadaceae
Description: partial 16S ribosomal RNA
Rfam family: Bacterial small subunit ribosomal RNA
Source: RNAcentral